Molecule: ribosomal RNA, 1346 nt
Filed under: uncultured bacterium
Lineage: Bacteria
Description: partial 16S ribosomal RNA
Rfam family: Bacterial small subunit ribosomal RNA
Source: RNAcentral
GACGAACGCUGGUGGCGUGCUUAACACAUGCAAGUCGAACGGAAAGGCCCUGCUUUUGUGGGGUGCUCGAGUGGCGAACGGGUGAGUAACACGUGAGUAACCUGCCCUUGACUUUGGGAUAACUUCAGGAAACUGGGGCUAAUACCGGAUAGGAGCUCCUGCUGCAUGGUGGGGGUUGGAAAGUUUCGGCGGUUGGGGAUGGACUCGCGGCUUAUCAGCUUGUUGGUGGGGUAGUGGCUUACCAAGGCUUUGACGGGUAGCCGGCCUGAGAGGGUGACCGGCCACAUUGGGACUGAGAUACGGCCCAGACUCCUACGGGAGGCAGCAGUGGGGAAUAUUGCACAAUGGGCGGAAGCCUGAUGCAGCAACGCCGCGUGCGGGAUGACGGCCUUCGGGUUGUAAACCGCUUUCGCCUGUGACGAAGCGUGAGUGACGGUAAUGGGUAAAGAAGCACCGGCUAACUACGUGCCAGCAGCCGCGGUGAUACGUAGGGUGCGAGCGUUGUCCGGAUUUAUUGGGCGUAGAGGGCUCGUAGGUGGUUGAUCGCGUCGGAAGUGUAAUCUUGGGGCUUAACCCUGAGCGUGCUUUCGAUACGGGUUGACUUGAGGAAGGUAGGGGAGAAUGGAAUUCCUGGUGGAGCGGUGGAAUGCGCAGAUAUCAGGAGGAACACCAGUGGCGAAGGCGGUUCUCUGGGCCUUUCCUGACGCUGAGGAGCGAAAGCGUGGGGAGCGAACAGGCUUAGAUACCCUGGUAGUCCACGCUGUAAACGGUGGGUACUAGGUGUGGGGUCCAUUCCACGGGUUCCGUGCCGUAGCUAACGCUUUAAGUACCCCGCCUGGGGAGUACGGCCGCAAGGCUAAAACUCAAAGGAAUUGACGGGGCCCCGCACAAGCGGCGGAGCAUGCGGAUUAAUUCGAUGCAACGCGUAGAACCUUACCUGGGUUUGACAUGGAUCGGGAGUGCUCAGAGAUGGGUGUGCCUCUUUUGGGGUCGGUUCACAGGUGGUGCAUGCCUGUCGUCAGCUCGUGUCGUGAGAUGUUGGGUUAAGUCCCGCAACGAGCGCAACCCUUGUUCACUGUUGCCAGCACGUUAUGGUGGGGACUCAGUGGAGACCGCCGGGGUCAACUCGGAGGAAGGUGGGGAUGACGUCAAGUCAUCAUGCCCCUUAUGUCCAGGGCUUCACGCAUGCUACAAUGGCUGGUACAGAGAGUGGCGAGCCUGUGAGGGUGAGCGAAUCUCGGAAAGCCGGUCUCAGUUCGGAUUGGGGUCUGCAACUCGACCUCAUGAAGUCGGAGUCGCUAGUAAUCGCAGAUCAGCAACGCUGCGGUGAAUACGUUCCCGGGGCU